AGAGUUUGAUCAUGGCUCAGAAUCAACGCUGGCGGCGCGCCUAACACAUGCAAGUCGUACGAGAAAGCAGGAGCAAUCUUGUGAGUAAAGUGGCGUACGGGUGAGUAACACGUGGAUUAUCUACCCUCUGGUGGGGGAUAACCCUGGGAAACCGGGGCUAAUACCGCAUAAGCUCGAGAGAGGAAAGCAGCAAUGCGCAGGAGGAGGAGUCCGCGGCCGAUUAUUGCUAGUUGGUAGGGUAAAGGCCUACCAAGGCUAAGAUCGGUAGCCGGCCUGAGAGGGCACACGGCCACACUGGCACUGAAACACGGGCCAGACUCCUACGGGAGGCAGCAGUGGGGAAUCUUGCACAAUGGGGGAAACCCUGAUGCAGCGACGCCGCGUGAACGAUGAAGCCCCUCGGGGUGUAAAGUUCUUUCGGCAGGGAAGAUGAUGACGGUACCUGCAGAAGCAGCUGCGGCUAACUACGUGCCAGCAGCCGCGGUAAUACGUAGGCAGCAAGCGUUGUUCGGAGUUACUGGGCGUAAAGGGUGUGUAGGCGGUUCUCUAAGUCUGGUGUGAAAUCUCCCGGCUCAACUGGGAGGGUGCGCCGAAAACUGGAGGGCUAGAGUGCGGGAUGGGAGAGUGGAAUUCCUGGUGUAGCGGUGAAAUGCGUAGAUAUCAGGAGGAACACCUGUGGUGUAGACGGCUCUCUGGACCGCAACUGACGCUGAGACACGAAAGCGUGGGUAGCAAACAGGAUUAGAUACCCUGGUAGUCCACGCCCUAAACGAUGCAUAUUUGGUGUGGGCCAUUCAUUUGGUCCGUGCCGGAGCUAACGCGUUAAAUAUGCCGCCUGGGGAGUACGGUCGCAAGGCUGAACUCAAGGAAUUGACGGGGCCCGCACAGCGGUGGAGCAUGUGGUUCAUUCGACGCACGCGAGACUACUGGGCUCGACGCUCACGAAGUCUUUGGAAACAGAGAUUCCCGCAAGGGACGGGAGUCGAGGGUGCUGCA
Molecule: ribosomal RNA, 996 nt
Filed under: uncultured bacterium
Lineage: Bacteria
Description: bacterial SSU rRNA
Rfam family: Bacterial small subunit ribosomal RNA
Source: RNAcentral